Molecule: ribosomal RNA, 1518 nt
Filed under: Salmonella enterica subsp. enterica serovar Abony
Lineage: Bacteria; Pseudomonadati; Pseudomonadota; Gammaproteobacteria; Enterobacterales; Enterobacteriaceae
Description: partial 23S ribosomal RNA
Rfam family: Bacterial large subunit ribosomal RNA
Source: RNAcentral
GGGGAGCCGGAGGGAAACCGAGUCUUAACCGGGCGUUAAGUUGCAGGGUAUAGACCCGAAACCCGGUGAUCUAGCCAUGGGCAGGUUGAAGGUUGGGUAACACUAACUGGAGGACCGAACCGACUAAUGUUGAAAAAUUAGCGGAUGACCUGUGGCUGGGGGUGAAAGGCCAAUCAAACCGGGAGAUAGCUGGUUCUCCCCGAAAGCUAUUUAGGUAGCGCCUCGUGAAUUCAUCUCCGGGGGUAGAGCACUGUUUCGGCUAGGGGGCCAUCCCGGCUUACCAACCCGAUGCAAACUGCGAAUACCGGAGAAUGUUAUCACGGGAGACACACGGCGGGUGCUAACGUCCGUCGUGAAGAGGGAAACAACCCAGACCGCCAGCUAAGGUCCCAAAGUCAUGGUUAAGUGGGAAACGAUGUGGGAAGGCCCAGACAGCCAGGAUGUUGGCUUAGAAGCAGCCAUCAUUUAAAGAAAGCGUAAUAGCUCACUGGUCGAGUCGGCCUGCGCGGAAGAUGUAACGGGGCUAAACCAUGCACCGAAGCUGCGGCAGCGACACUCAGGUGUUGUUGGGUAGGGGAGCGUUCUGUAAGCCUGUGAAGGUGUGUCGUGAGGCAUGCUGGAGGUAUCAGAAGUGCGAAUGCUGACAUAAGUAACGAUAAAGCGGGUGAAAAGCCCGCUCGCCGGAAGACCAAGGGUUCCUGUCCAACGUUAAUCGGGGCAGGGUGAGUCGACCCCUAAGGCGAGGCCGAAAGGCGUAGUCGAUGGGAAACGGGUUAAUAUUCCCGUACUUGGUGUUACUGCGAAGGGGGGACGGAGAAGGCUAUGUUGGCCGGGCGACGGUUGUCCCGGUUUAAGCGUGUAGGUGUGUGUUCCAGGUAAAUCCGGUUCACUUUAACACUGAGGCGUGACGACGAGGCACUACGGUGCUGAAGCAACAAAUGCCCUGCUUCCAGGAAAAGCCUCUAAGCAUCAGGUAACAUCAAAUCGUACCCCAAACCGACACAGGUGGUCAGGUAGAGAAUACCAAGGCGCUUGAGAGAACUCGGGUGAAGGAACUAGGCAAAAUGGUGCCGUAACUUCGGGAGAAGGCACGCUGACACGUAGGUGAAGUGAUUUACUCAUGGAGCUGAAGUCAGUCGAAGAUACCAGCUGGCUGCAACUGUUUAUUAAAAACACAGCACUGUGCAAACACGAAAGUGGACGUAUACGGUGUGACGCCUGCCCGGUGCCGGAAGGUUAAUUGAUGGGGUCAGCGCAAGCGAAGCUCCUGAUCGAAGCCCCGGUAAACGGCGGCCGUAACUAUAACGGUCCUAAGGUAGCGAAAUUCCUUGUCGGGUAAGUUCCGACCUGCACGAAUGGCGUAAUGAUGGCCAGGCUGUCUCCACCCGAGACUCAGUGAAAUUGAACUCGCUGUGAAGAUGCAGUGUACCCGCGGCAAGACGGAAAGACCCCGUGAACCUUUACUAUAGCUUGACACUGAACAUUGAGCCUUGAUGUGUAGGAUAGGUGGGAGGCUUU